Molecule: long non-coding RNA, 589 nt
Filed under: Homo sapiens (human)
Lineage: Eukaryota; Metazoa; Chordata; Mammalia; Primates; Hominidae
Description: novel transcript, antisense to CA13
Source: RNAcentral
UGGCAGCACAUGAAGAUGGCCGCAGCCCAGGUGGAUGAGAGUCCAUGGGGUAUAUACUAAAUCUAAUCAUGAGGAAACAAUAGAAAAAGAAACAUUCUAAAACAUUUCAAAAAAUGAUUGAACGGUUAUUUUCAAAAGCGUCAAGCCGGGAAAGCCAAGGAAAGAUUGAGGUUCUAUUCAGGAAGACUUCUUCCAAGUUGCUGGAGGAGAUGGCCACUAGUAGCCUUGAUUUUAUAUCAUCCCAGCACAAAGACACCAAAUGCAAGAGACAGCAUUUUCCACCAGCUCUAGCUGGAAAAUCCUUAGAGGAGGACUGUAGUUAUCAGCUCAACCAGGACAACUUGAUCGGAGAAGAGUGGUUAUCCAGAAAGGGAUGCUGAGCAGAUAAUCAACGUUCUCUGAAGUGGGUAUAAUGACUAUCUACAUGCAUAUGGGAAAGGGAGGCACAGAGAAAUGAAGUAACUUUUCCAAGAUCACACGGUUGGUUGGUGGGAGAGGUAAACCAAAAACCCAGGCCUCCUCACUCAGACCUCUGCUCUUGCCUGAAUAACCAUGUUAUUUCGCCACUUCAAAAUAAAAGUGAGACCUA